GAUGAACGCUAGCGGCAGGCCUAAUACAUGCAAGGCGAGGGGUUGGCAACAACACCGUCGUACGGGUGCGUAACGCGUAUGCAACCUACCUAUCACAGGGGGAUAGCCUUUGGAAACAGGGAUUAAUACCGCAUAAAGCAGGGGCUUGGCAUCAAGAUACUGCUAAAGAUUUAUCGGUGAUAGAUGGGCAUGCGUCUGAUUAGUUAGAUGGUGAGGUAACGGCUCACCAUGACGAUGAUCAGUAGGGGCGUCAGAGCGUGGUCCCCCACACUGGCACUGAGAUACGGGCCAGACUCCUACGGGAGGCAGCAGUAGGGAAUAUUGGGCAAUGGAUGCAAGUCUGACCCAGCCAUGCCGCGUGGAGGAAGAAGGUCCUCUGGAUUGUAAACUCCUUUUGUCGGGGAAGAAGAGUCAUCUUGCGAGGUGAUGUGACGGUACCCGAUGAAUAAGCCACGGCUAACUACGUGCCAGCAGCC
Molecule: ribosomal RNA, 476 nt
Filed under: uncultured bacterium
Lineage: Bacteria
Description: bacterial SSU rRNA
Rfam family: Bacterial small subunit ribosomal RNA
Source: RNAcentral